Molecule: long non-coding RNA, 1210 nt
Organism: Wyeomyia smithii (pitcher-plant mosquito)
Lineage: Eukaryota; Metazoa; Arthropoda; Insecta; Diptera; Culicidae
Exons: 2
Source: RefSeq, a predicted model, not a curated record
UACUCCUUCAAAACGGUAACACAUCCCUUUCUGGGCUCCCACCAGAGCGUUUUCCGCGAGGAGGUCGUGCGGAGUUACAAAGAGCUCCUUUUUCACAGAACCGUGAGAGCGCUCCGCUACGAUGGAAAGAAAAGGGUUUUUUCUCCGGGCGGCCGACGACGACGACGACAGCAACGGUGAACAGGACCUUGGACGGAAAUAUGAAUUUUCCUCGGUGCUGACUGGCAGGAUUGGGCGAUAAUCGUGGACUUUCAGCGAGCCGCGAGGCAGAACUAUCGGAAAUCGAUAACCUCAUCGCAGCAAAAUGUGGAUUAUUAGGUUUUUGCGGAACACCUGGAUUUGGUAAGAUCUAUGCCUCAUAUGUUCUGCACAGAGUGUAGUUCUCCUUAUAGUGAUUGGAACACCUUUUUCACCUGAUGGCCGUCCCGAACGGAGACAUGAAAAAACCUAUCCUUUCCCAAACCAUUUUCUUGAAGCACUCUGAUAGAAAUAUCUUUAGCUCCCUGCAAAAUAUGACACCAAAAUUCGUUUUCGCACGUAAUCGCGUAUACAUAGCCACAGCGUAGUAGUACUCAUUUGCGGGAACCCGUAGAUCCGAACUUGUGCUGCCGUUUCACAUGUUACAAGAACGGAUGUAUGGGAUUCUGCCGAUGUAUGGCAAAGCAUCGAUCGAUGGCUCGGAAUCAAACCGAACCCUGCAAUUGUCGUCCUCUAUAUCUGCUGAAUGGUCUGUGAAAAAACCAAAGCUCCAGAUUUAGGCGAAAAGAGUCCGAUUUCCCACCCGUAGUUGCUGUGAACCGGAUAGUAGCAAGUCGAAAAUUUCACCAGGAAUGAGAGAAAAAUCAUCCCACAUACGUUUUAGUGCUACAUAAGUGUGAGUGCGUGUUUCAUCACGGUGGUGACGGGUACGAAAGAUACACCCCCUUGGGCUUAAGUGAAGUGUUCAAAAAUGCUUACAGGAUGAAAAAUGCACAGCUCCGCUGAACGCAACUUACCGCCUCAACACGAGGGAAAGCUGGAACAAUGCCAAAUCUAAUGGGUGAGAAAGAAAAAAAAAUGCAUCGAUCAAUCCUUUAGUGUCUAGUGGGCUAGAAAAAUAACCUCCAUUUGUUUUCCCGCACUCCUUUAGUCCUCCCGCUGUCGAUAUCAUUUUCAUUUAGACUAAGCAAAAGCGUUACCACAAAAAGCAAAAUAAAAUUUUCUAAAACAA